AGGACGUCGUACGUCAUGCAGA
Molecule: microRNA, 22 nt
Filed under: Ornithorhynchus anatinus (platypus)
Lineage: Eukaryota; Metazoa; Chordata; Mammalia; Monotremata; Ornithorhynchidae
Description: oan-miR-1421m-5p
Source: miRBase by way of RNAcentral